GCAAGAGAACCGGAACACAGGUGCUGCAUGGCUGUCGUCAGCUCGUGUCGUGAGAUGUUGGGUUAAGUCCCGCAACGAGCGCAACCCUUGUCAUUAGUUGCCAUCAUUUGGUUGGGCACUCUAAUGAGACUGCCGGUGACAAACCGGAGGAAGGUGGGGAUGACGUCAAGUCCUCAUGGCCCUUAUGGGUAGGGCUUCACACGUCAUACAAUGGUCGGUACAGAGGGUUGCCAACCCGCGAGGGGGAGCUAAUCCCACAAAGCCGAUCGUAGUCCGGAUCGCAGUCUGCAACUCGACUGCGUGAAGUCGGAAUCGCUAGUAAUCGCGGAUCAGCAUGUCGCGGUGAAUACGUUCCCGGGUCUU
RNAcentral lists this ribosomal RNA (363 nucleotides) under uncultured Rhodocyclaceae bacterium. RNAcentral describes it as "bacterial SSU rRNA". It matches the Rfam family "Bacterial small subunit ribosomal RNA", at positions 1018 to 1382 of the family's 1533-position model. Lineage: Bacteria; Pseudomonadati; Pseudomonadota; Betaproteobacteria; Rhodocyclales; Rhodocyclaceae. The record is from RNAcentral.